Molecule: transfer RNA, 80 nt
Filed under: Fibroporia radiculosa
Lineage: Eukaryota; Fungi; Basidiomycota; Agaricomycetes; Polyporales; Fibroporiaceae
Rfam family: tRNA
About the family: Transfer RNA (tRNA) molecules are approximately 80 nucleotides in length. Their secondary structure includes four short double-helical elements and three loops (D, anti-codon, and T loops).
Source: Rfam by way of RNAcentral
UCCGAUAUGGUGUAGUGGCUAACAUUAUCGCCUCUCAUUUGUGAUCGCGAUAGCCCGGGGUUCGAUUCCCCGUGUCGGAA